This 464-nucleotide ribosomal RNA is filed under the name uncultured bacterium. RNAcentral describes it as "partial 16S ribosomal RNA". It matches the Rfam family "Bacterial small subunit ribosomal RNA", at positions 338 to 795 of the family's 1533-position model. The record is from RNAcentral.
CCUACGGGUGGCAGCAGUAGGGAAUUUUCGGCAAUGGGGGGAACCCUGACCGAGCAACGCCGCGUGAAGGAAGAAGGAAUUCGUUCUGUAAACUUCUGUUAUAAAGGAAGAAAGACGGAUGGAGGAAAUGACAUCCGAGUGACGGUACUUUAUGAGAAAGCCACGGCUAACUACGUGCCAGCAGCCGCGGUAAUACGUAGGUGGCAAGCGUUAUCCGGAAUUAUUGGGCGUAAAGAGGGAGCAGGCGGCAGCAAAGGUCUGUGGUGAAAGACUGAAGCUUAACUUCAGUAAGCCAUAGAAACCGGGCAGCUAGAGUGCAGGAGAGGAUCGUGGAAUUCCUAGUGUAGCGGUGAAAUGCGUAGAUAUUAGGAGGAACACCAGUGGCGAAGGCGGCCUACUGGACGGUGACUGACGCUGAGGCUCGAAAGCGUGGGGAGCAAACAGGAUUAGAUACCCUGGUAGUC